UAGAGUUUGAUCCUGGCUCAGAAUCAACGCUGGCGGCGUGCCUAACACAUGCAAGUCGAGCGAGAAAAGGGGAGCAAUCCCCUGAGUACAGCGGCGCACGGGUGAGUAACACGUGGGUAAUCUGCCCUGGAGUGGGGAAUAACACCGGGAAACCGGUGCUAAUACCGCAUACGAUCGCGAUGUCUGCGGACGUUGUGAUGAAAGGAGCAAUUCGCUCUAGGAGGAGCCCGCGGCUGAUUAGCUAGUUGGUGAGGUAACGGCUCACCAAGGCAACGAUCAGUAUCCGGUCUGAGAGGACGGUCGGACACACUGGAACUGAGACACGGUCCAGACUCCUACGGGAGGCAGCAGUGGGGAAUUUUUGGCAAUGGGGGAAACCCUGACCAAGCAACGCCGCGUGGGUGAUGAAGUCCCUUGGGACGUAAAACCCUUUCGACGGGGAAGAAACCGCAAGGUUGACGGUACCCGUAGAAGAAGCCCCGGCUAACUCCGUGCCAGCAGCCGCGGUAAUACGGGGGGGGCGAGCGUUGUUCGGAAUUACUGGGCGUAGAGGGUGCGUAGGCGGUUCGCUAAGUCGGAUGUGAAAACUCUGGGCUCAACCCAGAGCCUGCAUCCGAAACUGGCGGACUAGAGUUCUGGAGGGGGUAGCGGAAUUCCUGGUGUAGCGGUGAAAUGCGUAGAUAUCAGGAGGAACACCGGUGGCGGAGCUGCUACCUGGACAGAAACUGACGCUGAGCACGAAAGCUAGGGAGCAAACAGGAUUAGAUACCCUGGUAGUCCUAGUCCUAACGAUGCAUACUCGCUGUGACUGCGAUUGAAUCCCGUCGUGUCGACGCUACGCAUGAAGUAUCCCGCCUGGCGGAGUACAGUCGCAAGCUGAACUCGAAUGCAUUGACUGGUC
Molecule: ribosomal RNA, 901 nt
Filed under: uncultured soil bacterium
Lineage: Bacteria
Description: SSU rRNA
Rfam family: Bacterial small subunit ribosomal RNA
Source: RNAcentral